AUACGUAGGGUGCAAGCGUUGUUCGGAAUUAUUGGGCGUAAAGCGCGUGUAGGCGGUUUGUUAAGUCUGAUGUGAAAGCCCGGAGCUUAACUCCGGAAGUGCAUUGGAUACUGGCAAACUAGAGGACGAGAGAGGGAAGCGGAAUUCCUGGUGUAGGGGUGAAAUCCGUAGAUAUCAGGAGGAAUGUCGGAGGCGAAGGCGGCUUCCUGGCUCGUAACUGACGCUGAGACGCGAAAGCGUGGGUAGCAAACAGGAUUAGAAACCCCAGUAGUCC
Molecule: ribosomal RNA, 274 nt
Filed under: uncultured bacterium
Lineage: Bacteria
Description: partial 16S ribosomal RNA
Rfam family: Bacterial small subunit ribosomal RNA
Source: RNAcentral